This is a long non-coding RNA of Felis catus (domestic cat), 2442 nucleotides long. RefSeq lists it as uncharacterized. NCBI's taxonomy places the organism in Eukaryota, Metazoa, Chordata, Mammalia, Carnivora, Felidae. The record is from RefSeq and is a predicted model, not a curated record. The transcript is spliced from 4 exons.
GUCCCGCCCUGGGCGGCCCCAACACAAGCUCGGCCCCUGCCUUCCCAGAGAGGAGGUGGGGCCGGGGAGCCAUAAACCCAGGCCCAUUCCUGCUCCCGCGUUUAACGACCCCUGUCAAGGACUCCUGCCCAGAUUCAAUUACCACCACAGGUUUAUAAGACCAGCAUCUGGGCACGCGCUCUGACAUAACAAUGGACCCCAUGCCAGCUGGCUGGGAGGCUCCCCCGCCCUCCCUCCACCCUCUUCUCUCCUCUGAAUCGGGGAGGCUGGGAGGCCAAGGUUACCACCAGCACCUUUUCUUAGGAACUGGGAAGCCCGAGUGCAAGAUGAUCGCCAGGCGUUAGAACCGACACAAAGACACUUUGGGAUCUCCUGGAACCCCGCUCGGGGCACACUGGAUUCACGGUGACCUCGCCGUGGGCACGGGCUGGCGGCCGGCCUCAGCUGCCCAGCGGCACAGCGGGCUCACUCCAGACGAGAACCUCGCACCAGGACCCGCCUCCCUCAACAACCAGAGCGGUGGCCGUGCCCUGUGGGAGGCGGCAAGUGUGUCCGAAGCCCUCAGCGGGCAUUUGGAGGCAGGGUCAUGACUGUCCUUCAAGGCACGAGGCGCAAAACAGAGCUGGGGUCCUGGGUGACGGACCUGUCGGGGGGCUCCGUCCAGGGGCAGCUCAGGCGGAAAGAAGGGGCCUCCCGUCACCUCUACACAAGCCACCGCAGCGUCCGGAAUCCUCGUCCAGGUGCCCGGGCUCCGCCGAGCUCUGACUCCCCGUGGAGACGUGACCGGCGCGCCUGUCCCCCAGGCCCACCUCGGAGCCGCCCUCCGUCCUGCUCCCCGUGCAGCGCUGACCCCCGCUGCCUCCCUCCCCUGUGGACCCAACCCCUCCCCUGAGCCCCUCCCUCUACCCUGCCCGGCGGUCCUGCGUGGUGGCAGCCAACGGCCAGUGCAGAUUCGGGACACGGAUUCGGCACACACACACACACACACACGCAGACGCACACACGUUCACAUGCCUCCCCCUGGUCCCUGCCCCCCGCCCCGGGCCCCAUCUCCACCCGAGUGGGUCGCAGUGAUCCCCGCCCAAACCUUCCAGGGGGCUCUCGCUGCUCUGAGAAUAACAUCCAAGGUCCCCGGGUGGCCCACAAGGCCCGUGCCAGCCCCCACCCCGGCCGCCCCUGCCCCUGGGCCCCAGCCCCCAGCUCCCCCACCACGGGCCCCUUGCAGGGCACAAACACAGCCACCCGGCUCCCCUGGGCACUCCACCCCCACCCUCGGAAUGGCUCCCUCUCAGCCCCGCAGAGGCCUUGGAAGACCCCCUGCCCGCCCCAGACCCGCCCGUGCCCUCCCCGGACCACUUUCUGCCCUGACCCGUCUCCUUGUUGCAGACGGCUUCCCACACUCCCGGGGGAGCAGGAGUCUCCCCGCCCUGUUCUUUGAGGGAGACUGGCACCUGGACGGAUGCCCGUCACUCCACAGGUGCUGCGUAAAUAUUUGUGGGAUGCCAGAGCGGGUGUCUGCUGUGUGCCAGGCACGUGCUAACCUCGCUAAAGACAUAGAAUCUCAAGAAAUUGAUCCCCCAACAGCCUGUGUGUGAGGUAGCUGCUGCUCCCAUCCCCGUUGUCCAGGUAGAGAACUGAGGCUCAGAGGGGUCAGGGAGCUUGUCCGAAGUCACACAGCACGGACUCCAGGCCAGGCGUCUGCCUCCAGACCGCGACUCCCGCACGGCCCCGCCAUCUAUGCCGACGCGAACCCUCGGAGCAGACUUCUCCCCCUUCACAGAUGAGGGAGCCAGGGCCUCGGGGUCCCUCUGCGCUGGCCCAGGGGCACACACCUCGGGUCAAGGGGCGCUCAGAGGCCGCCUCAACCCGGCCUGCAGUGUCUCAGCCCCAGAGCCCCCAACCCCCAUUUCUUGGGCCGGAGGGAGGGGCUGUUAGGGUUUGAAUCUUUUCCUGAAGGCAGACGGCCAUCUACGCCCUCCUGCAGCGUGACUUUCAAGAAAUAUCACCUAAUUAAUGGAUUUCUGGCUCUCGGAGCUGCCAGAUCCCCCUCCCGAGACGUCUGGCCACAGCCUGGGUGCUCCCAUAUGCCGGCGGCCCUGCCAGCGGGGGGGGGGGGGGGUCUGGCACCCACUCCCUGCUCGGCACCCUGGCUGCCAGCUUCUGGUUCCUGCUCGGCCACAGACCCCGAGAGCUGGGCUGCAGCCAGGCGGGCUCCUUCCCGCCGCCCCGGGGCCUGCCUGCUGGGCCCCCCACCACACCCCCCAGGCCUGUGUAGACACGGUCCCUCCCCAGGCUGCACCCCCGGGUCUGCGAGUCAGGAAACAUCCACCACUGUUCCCCUUUCCCCCCCAGCACCCCCUCCGCACCUCGCCAAACAUCCUCAUUCUCUUAAUUAUUGACGAACAGAUUUUUCCCCCAAAUAAUUAGGCAAUUUAAAUCAUA